Molecule: microRNA precursor, 201 nt
Filed under: Oryza nivara
Lineage: Eukaryota; Viridiplantae; Streptophyta; Magnoliopsida; Poales; Poaceae
Description: MIR812 microRNA precursor family
Rfam family: MIR812 microRNA precursor family
Source: Rfam by way of RNAcentral
UUUAAGCGGCAGUUGUAAAUUUCUGUGUUCAACAUUAAUCGGCUAUCUUAUUUAAUUUUUUUUAUGAUUAUGAUUUUUGUUGUUGUUAGAUAAUAAAACAUAGUAGUACUUUAUAUGUAACUUAUUUUUUAAAUUUUUUAUAAAAUUUUUAAAUAAGAUAAAUGAUCAAAUGAAUUAUGAAAAAUCGUGACUGCAUUUAAA